GUGAUGUUUAAUUUUAUGUGUCAACUUGACUGGGCUAAGGAAUGCCCAGAUAGCUGGCAAAACCUUAUUUCAGGGUGUGUCUAGGAGAGUGUUUCCAGAAGAGAUUGGCAAUUCGAAUGGAUGGAACAGGUUAAGAAGAUCUGGCCUCAUCAGUGUGGGCAGGCAUCAUCCAACCCUUGGAGGGCCCACCUGAAUAGAACAAAAAGGCAGGACUUUGGGACCAUAUCCUAUAAACAGAAGAAUGUCGUGGCAUGACGGCUUACACCUGUAAUCCUAGCACUUUCGGAAGGCUGACGUAGGAGGAUGGCUUGCAGUCAGGAGUUCAAGCGUCAUCUCUCUUCCUGAAGGCCAGACCAAGUGGAUAGUGUGUAUGUAGCCGCCAACAACUUUGGAGUCUGAACGUGGAAAGUAACCUGAAGCCACAAAUGUCUUUAAGUCGAAUAACUUCUGGACGCUAAGUCUCAGCGCUCUAAUACAAAAUGGCAAGAGAAUUAAGAACACAUCAGCCUGCUUUUACAAAAGAAAGGAAAAAUAUUACGUUUUUCUACUCACUUGGACUUCGAAUUGCAUUCUGGCA
Microcebus murinus (gray mouse lemur) is the source of this 577-nucleotide non-coding RNA. NCBI's taxonomy places the organism in Eukaryota, Metazoa, Chordata, Mammalia, Primates, Cheirogaleidae. The record is from RefSeq and is a predicted model, not a curated record.